Oncorhynchus tshawytscha (Chinook salmon) is the source of this 7166-nucleotide long non-coding RNA. Lineage: Eukaryota; Metazoa; Chordata; Actinopteri; Salmoniformes; Salmonidae. The record is from Ensembl.
UCCUGAGAUAGGUUGGUUGACAGAACUUGCAGAAUAUUAGAUUAAGGGUUUUUGUUUCUUUUAUUUUACAAUAUCAUUGUAAUUGGAGUGAUACAUUGGAAUGACAUAAGUAAUUGAAUAAAACGUAUAGUCUGUUGUGUGAUAACACCCAAGGAUGAAGAAGACAUUACAAAUAGUGGUAAUUUAUUGCAAAUAUGCAGUUAUUAUAAUUUACUUUACUAUUUUUCUUGUUUGGUCAAUUUCUUUUUGUUUUGAGGAAAAUAAGUGUCUGAGGGGAGACUGAUAAAUUGACUAAAAAUGAUUUGAGAAUGUUUAGGUAUGUAUCAAACUAUGAAAGGAAUUUAGGAGUAGUGACUUGUGUGUUAUGGGUUAGAAACUGUAACUACAUUGGGGAUUCAUAUGAAGGUUAUGAUAACAAGGGGGGGGUGUUAUUUCUAGAAACAAUGUAUAUUAAUAGACAAGAUAAUUCACAGAAAAGGAAGGACAGUUGGUCUUGUAGAAAUAUAGGGACAAUUCUAAGGGUAGAUAGAACAUUACACACACCUAGAUUAUGGUAAAAGUAAUAAGUAGUGGCAUUUUGAAGAAGCUUAGGACUUAGUUUUGUUAGGAUUGGAUAUUCUUUCAACUGGAAGACACUUGACUGAUUAUGAAUAUUUUUGUGGCAAGAGGCCAGGUAUUUGAGACAGAAUGUUUACAUAACAGAAUGUUUACAUGGGGCUGUCAUUUAAGAAAGUCUGUUGUCAGGAAAUAACCCAUGUGUUAGUAUGAAUAUCCCCAGGAAAAGAGCACAUAAGACGCCAGAUGGAAGGGCAUGGGCUGAAUUCUGGAGACUGAGUGUACGUCAAGAUACACCAGGCUGGGGAUAUACUUCUUACAGCACCUGCAGUAGUAAAGAUCGUCAUGUCUCUCUUUGAUGGGUGCAUAAGUUUCACAAGAAGUAAGGCCCAGCUGAAUAAUGGGUGAGCUUGAAAACACCAUGACAGAGGACGUGAAACAAAACAAAAAAGAGAGAGAGAGAGAGAGACUAGAUUCUACUGUAGACAUACUGGGUUGAGUUUGGGGGUUAUUUGGUUUAUUUGAUAAUGUAUCAUGUGAAUAAGGAUAGAUAUUAGGGUAGUUGGACCUAAACCACAUGUUGAAGGCUCGAUGUGGAAGCCCAUUCAGUGUUGAAUUACUUCAAGAAGAAAUAAUGUUGAUUAAGGUUAUGCACAUGCUUAUCAGUUGAUAUAGAGCAAAUAGGGAACUAAGUUUAAAAAAAAUGACAUGAUUUGGGAACACCUCUCAGAACCUGUGGCCGAAAGGGGAAGACUGGAUAAAAGCAUGAGGAAGCUAAUUAGGGCCUCCAUUUUUGUAGAGUCCAGCAGAAACACAUCCUGAAAGCAUAGAGUCGGGUGAAGAGAGAGUGGGAAUUGUCAUGGUCUUAGAUUUCAGUAUUUAUGAAUACAGUCAUGCAUAACACAUAACAUUGUCAAUACUGUUAUGUUGUGUCUUUUGUUUUACAAGUCUUUUGUUUAGGAAACCAGAUGGAGAAGGGUUCGCCAGCUUCAGCUGGAAUGUCAGUUUGUGUGAUGAGUGAUGGAAGUAAGAGAAUGUAUGGUGUAAUCGUAGAACAGAGGCCAUAAGUCUUUAAGUAUGAAUGCCCCACAGAAAGAAGGCAGAAACCUGAACCAGGACGAGAGGUUCCACAUCUGAUGAUCCAAGGAGACCAGAAGGACCUCUCCCAGUGAUACCAGGAGAUCCAGUCUACGGUCGAGUGUUCCGAAGGAAGUGGGAUCAGCCGAGGAGAGAAGGACCCUACGAGGUGGCAACGGCCACAAUCACGGCCGUCCAAGUGAAAGGAAGCAAGACGUGGUAUCAUCUAAACCACUGCACCCGAGUCCCGACGGAGAGAAGGACACAACCAUACAGAGAUGAGGACACAGAGGAUGCUGAUUCACCAGAGGGGACCCCAGAGGGAGCAGGAGCAGAGGAAUCGAUCAAAGCCCCGGGAGGACUCAAGAAAAUGGCAGACCAGAUACAACGAGUGCAUCAGCUAACACACUCAGAAGAAGCACCAGGGGAAAAGAGCCUGAAAAGAAAAGAGCCUGAAAAGAAAAGAGACAAACGACCAAAGUUUCCUCCAGUAUGGCCAGAAAGCCCAGAAGUGGGAGGGGUAACAUGUCUGCCACUCCUGAUGAUAUACCUGUUGGGGCAGGCCUCUUUGACAGAAGCACUCUACAGAGGGGCUCCGAGGUAUUGCCUAAAGAAUGGGAACAUCUCUUCCCUGAAAUGGACACCUUCCAAAUGGAAGCCCAGUCCGGCCUGAGGAGGGAGCUUCAGGGGAGGAAAGAAGGAGAGACCCCACUAACGAGAAGGAAAAGUCGAGUGAGCUGAAGAAAAUGGCAAUUUCCCCAAAAAUAGAUUUUUCAGCUCUUACCUGAUCUCCAUAAUGAACCAUUGGAAUUAGGACCACGAAAGAACAGUGACAAUGACAGAGUAAGAGCGACUGAGGACAAUACGAAGAUGAUGCACGCACUCACCAUCAAGAUAAAGGAUAAAAGCAUGAAGAGAAGAGAGGAGCCUGUCGAACGAGGUAAAAAGACAGGACCUGUUGAUAGGUUUAAGUUUCAUGUUCCGCCACAACUUCCAACAGAACCAGGGGAACAGAGGACAGUUUCUGUAUGGAAGAAGAAACCUGUACCGGAGGAGCCACUCUGUGGAUGGACGCGUCAUAUAACAAAGGGAGAAGCUGUUUGGGACCUCAAAGGAUGUGACCUGACACUAACCAAACGUGUGGAAGGCUGGGAGUUUAUCAUGAACAAGAUGACACCAGCAGAAGGUGAAGAAUUUGAAAUUGAAAUAACAAGAACAGGACUGAGUGAAGGAAACAGUUACGAAUAUGUUAAAUUGGGUCCUAUGCAAGCACCUGAACAAAAACUGCUGGUGACAACCAAAGUAAUGACAACAAUGGUGGCGGCUGCUGAAACGACCAACUACCACUGAGAUGACACCAACUGCUCUUACCAAGCAGACCACGGCAAUCACAAAGACACCUGACACAUCAGAGCCAAAAGGAUUCUUUAAUGAGAUUUGGAAUUCUUUUUCAAACUCAAAUGAUCUAUCUCAUGACAAGAACAUUGCCAAGAUGACAGAUAUAGAUGUAUCAGACUCAGAAUCGUUCAAAGACACCACACAGGAAGAAGGGUGAAAAACGAAUGUACCUGAACCUGCAUCGUUUGAAGAAAUGUGUUAAAUGUAAAAUGUUCAAUAUUCAGAGAAAAUACUACAUUCCUUUGUGUGACAUAGAAUGUAGGAUUGCCCAUGGGAGCACUAGAGGCAGGACUGUGUUGAACAACAUUGGGUUGGGUGACAAGGAUUGUGCUGUCUAUAACAUUUGAACUGAAUUAAAUGGACCUUUGUUAGAUGGAAACACUGUGAUUAAAGGAAUAUAUGAAUGUUUUAACAGCCAUAACACCGAAGGUAUUGAUGUAGGAAACACCACUGUAGAAUGUGAUACUAUUUGGGUACUAGAGACUGCAGGGGUUCGUAGAAAUAAAGAUAAAGGGUUGGUGAGGAAUAGAAAAGGGUUGUGUGGUAAAAUAACUCAGGUUGCGCCAUCUCUUAUUAUGCUAAACAAUCAAGACAGAGGUCUUGAGGAUAGUUCUGGAUGUGUGGAAAUAACAAACUGUUGAAUGUACUGCCAGAUGGAUCCUUUGCAAUCGCUAUGGCUAAACUUAAAGGGUUACGAGUAGAGGUUAAGGCAAAUGCUGGGGUUGACUCUCAUGUUUGGGAUUGGUUAGACUUAGCAUUGGGGAAAUGGGGAGCCAUGUUUGCUAGGAUGACCUUUAUGCUGGGAGGGGGGAUAUUGGCUCUGGGUAUUGUAUUUUGUUGUGUUUUACCCUGGGUGAAAUCACUUGUGAUCCAGACAACGGUUAAACAGAUGUUUGUAAGUAGAGCUGACACUCCGGUGAUAGUUGAUUCUGUGCCGGGUAGGCCAGGCCACUAUACUGAUGGGAAUGGACAGUUAUGCAAUGUGGUUGGUGGACCCCCUGACUGCCCUUUUGGUAAUCCAAACUGCCUGUAUGGAGUGGUCUCUGGAGGUGGUUACACUUGCCAGGGUUUUCAUGAGGAUGGUUUACAUGUAGAUGCUGACAUUCCAAAGUCAACUGAUACGUAUCCACAAAAAGGGUAUUUUCCAUAGUAAAUACAGGGGUACUAUGUAUUUCUAUUUUUGCUUUUGGUCUUGUGUUUUUGUAUGUUUUGUUGAAUGUUUUUAUAGGUAUAUCGAUGAAUAUAUCUGGGUUUUCUUUUAAUUAAAAGUUAGUUUUGCCAAAAACAUGAAGGUAACAGUGGGAUAUCCCGGUUAUAAGUGUCUAUGGACCAUGUCCUUAAUCUUUUAACAGAGGUUGGUAUCAUGUUUGUUGGAGAGGUGUUUGAGAGGGAGGAUCAUGUUGAAAGCCUAAAUGUAGAAUGAUGUUGUGUCAAUUUGACUUUGUACCUACAUACUCAUGCUUCAACAGAAUGUUAUGUAUUUAUUUUAUUGUUUGCUUCUAACUAGAUCUUUUACUCUUAUGAAAUACUAGAGAUGUUUGGUCUAAGUUAAUUAGGAAGCUUGAUUUUUGUUAAUCAACUGUUGAUAUUAUGUUCCGGAUAUGUCCUUUUAAGUUUUUUGGUGCUUAUUAAAGCACCAGAGGGAGGUUAUGUGGGAGAAUUAUAUACAUGAUUUGAUAACAAAAGAGAAAAUGUACAUUUAUGGGUUCAUUCCUGUUCUGGUAAAGUGCAUUUUCUAUUGAAUAGGGCAGAAAGCCGAGAAAGACCAUGGGAGUAUGGAACAGCCGGGAACACUAAAGGAAUGCAGACACAUAGACGCCUAGAAAUGACUGGACAUACAAAGGUCAGAGUGAUAUAUCAAGGAGGGAGUCAGCCAAAUGACCCCAGAUGAAUUACAGAUAUCAGUUACAUCGCAGGGGAGACACAAGUCUGUUUAAUCUUAUACAAACAUAUGAAGAGAAGGCGACCAGAACAGCUAGUCACAGGAAAGGGGGAUGUAUAUUAUCUUUAGGUCAAAAGAAGGGUCUUGUAAUCAUUUUUAAUCUGACUGAAAGCAGAUGUGGGCGUUACUGGGCUGAACAAGCAGGAAGCACGGAUUGGGAUGGAACUUAAUUUGCAUAUGGGAGGGACUUAUAUGAGUGGUGCGUCACCAAGAUGUGUCCCCCCGCCACUGGGGAAGGAGAGAUCGGUUCCGCCUGGAGGUGUCGGGGGGAGGGCAGGGGGCGAAACGGGAGGAGAGGCCACUGCCCAGAAUCGACCCACUAGCCCCCCGAGACUCCUCCCUCCCUCUCUCACUCACUCCUCUACCUUACUUCACAUUGCCCCAGAAAGUUCGGAGACUGUCCCAGUUUGCAGUGUCGGUGGUGAUGGGUGUGGUCUGCUCACCAUGGUGUUUCUACGGUAACCAGAAGAGGAGAUGAUGUUUCCAUGGAGAUUCAGACCAAGAUCCCCCCCCCCUGUUCAUUCCCCAGACCAAUCUGAUGUGUUCUAGGGGCCAACAGUGCUGAUAUGUCCAACAGGGCUGAUAUGGUCUAGGGACCAACAGGGCUGAUAUGUCCAACAGGGCUGAUAUGGUCUAGGGACCAACAGGGCUGAUAUGUUCUAGGGACCAACAGGGCUGAUAUGUUCUAGGGACCAACAGGGCUGAUAUGUUCUAGGGACCAACAGGGCUGAUAUGUCCAACAGGGCUGAUAUGUUCUAGGGACCAACAGGGCUGAUAUGUUCUAGGGGCCAACAGGGCUGAUAUGUUCUAGGGACCAACAGGGCUGAUAUGUUCUAGGGACCAACAGGGCUGAUAUGUUCUAGGGACCAACAGGGCUGAUAUGUUCUAGGGGCCAACAGGGCUGAUAUGUUCUAGGGACCAACAGGGCUGAUAUGUUCUAGGGACCAACAGGGCUGAUAUGUUCUAGGGACCAACAGGGCUGAUAUGUUCUAGGGGCCAACAAGGCUGAUAUGUUCUAGGGGUCAACAGGGCUAAUAUGUUCUAGGGGUCAACAGGGCUGAUAUGUUCUAGGGGUCAACAGGGCUAAUAUGUUCUAGGGGUCAACAGGGCUGAAAUGUGAAACUGCAUGUAAAGCAUACAUUUAAACAAGUGGUAAACAAACAUAUGUGUACACUAACAUACAUGUAAACAAACCAACAUGUACUGUAAACAAACAUACGUGUACACUGACAUACACACAUGUAAACAAACCAACAUGUACUGUAAACAAACAUACAUGUACACUGACAUACAUAUAUGUAAACAAACCAACAUGUACUGUAAACAAACAUAUGUGUACACUAACAUACAUGUAAACAAACCAACAUGUACUGUAAACAAGCAUACAUGUACACUAACAUACAUGUAAACAAACCAACCUGUACUGUAAACAAACAUAAGUGUACACUAACAUACAUGUAAACAAACCAACAUGUACUGUAAACAAACAUACAUGUACACUGACAUACAUACAUGUAAACAAACCAACAUGUACUGUAAACAAACAUACAUGUACACUAACAUACAUGUAAACAAACCAACAUGUACUGUAAACAAACAUACAUGUACACUAACAUACAUGUAAACAAACCAACAUGUACUGUAAACAAACAUACAUGUACACUAACAUACAUGUAAACAAACCAACAUGUACUGUAAACAAACAUACAUGUACACUGACAUACAUACAUGUAAACAAACCAACAUGUACGGUAAACAAACAUACGUGUACACUGACAUACAUACAUGUAAAAAAAAAACAUGUACUGUAAACAAACAUACAUGUACACUGACAUACAUACAUGUAAACAAACCAACAUGUACGGUAAACAAACAUACGUGUACACUGACAUACAUACAUGUAAAAAAAAAACAUGUACUGUAAACAAACAUACAUGUACACUGACAUACAUACAUGUAAACAAACCAACAUGUAACUAACAACUAACUUUCUACUAUUAAACUCGGACAAAACAGAGAUUCUUGUUCUAGGUCCCAAGAAACAAAGAGAUCUUCUGUUGAAUCUGACAAUUAAUCUUAAUGGUUGUACAGUCGUCUCAAAUAAAACUGUGAAGGACCUCGGCGUUACUCUGGACCCUGAUCUCUCUUUUGAAGAACAUAUCAAGACCAUUUCAAGGACAUAUUUUUUCCAUCU